Molecule: unclassified non-coding RNA, 1846 nt
Filed under: Hevea brasiliensis (rubber tree)
Lineage: Eukaryota; Viridiplantae; Streptophyta; Magnoliopsida; Malpighiales; Euphorbiaceae
Source: RNAcentral
AAAAAAAAAAAAAAAAAGGUAAAAGGUUACAGCAAUUCUUUUCCCUACCAUUCAAGAAACCUGAGAUGCAAAACUACUAAACUGCCCUGGGUAAGCAUGAUUAAAGUCAGUGAGAUGAAUUGUUUUUGUUACAGUACUGAACCAUGGAAAAGAAAUAUCAUUGACAAAGAAACUGAAGAUAGGAAAUUACUUCCAAUCAUAAGUCAGUAACUCAACCACCUGAUCAAGAUGCUCAUUGGUUUUGGCCCCAAUGUUAAUUAAAUCGUGCAGAUUUGAUGGCUGAUGCAUGCAUGGAUGAGCUCAUGUGAUCCUAAAACUAGGAAGUAGUCAAGUAGCUUUUACAAGGUCCUAGAAAUGGUCAUUUUUCAUCUCUUUUUGGUUCAAGGUAGAAGAAAGCAUGGGCUUAUAACCCCUGACCACCACAAUUAAAAGAUAGGUUCUUGAUUCCUCACCUGCUAGCCCAAGGCAGGUCUUCAUUCAGGCUAAAAUUGAAAUAAAGGUGCCAUGAGUGUAAGAAAACUUGGAAAAUUCCAAGGAUUAAGAAAACUUGGAAAAUUCCAAGGAUUUUUGAGACAGAAACUCCACAACACAAAACAGACUUGAGAUGUGUGCAAAUCCUACUGUUAAGGUGACAUCUACAUUGGCAAUGGGACAUUAACAACAAAGUUGAAUAGCUGAGGUCAAACUGAAGGUCGAUUAAUAGAGUCCAAAUAAGUGAUCAGAAUGGAUGAUGACAAUUAUAAAUGAGAAUCAUGCGACAGGUAUUGGAAAAGAAAAAGGGAGCUUGCUGCAUGAAAUCAACAAAAGUAGAAUACAAAGCUGUGAACAGAAAGUGAUAUAAGAUGGACCGUUGACCCAGCAAUGACAACUAAGAAGUUCAGAAAAGCAUAUAUGAUGAAUAAAUUUGAAGAAUCAACAGCAAAUUAACUUCUAUUUUCAGAGAUACUUGAGCCAGUCAUUCACAAGAAUAUAACAGAGGAAAAAAAUGUAAACUGGGUUAUUAUCAUCCUCAAGUUUAUAUUGGUCUUUAGUCAUUUCUGAAUGACAAAAUCACCAUCAACUUUGAUAUGAAGGCUUGAAUGAGUCAAAAUGGUAUCAAAGUACUGAUUGUUUGUUAUGAGCCACAUGAAUGAUCAUAAACCUCACCAAUCCCACAUAGCUAGAUUUUCUGCUAUUUUAUUGAAGGAAAACACUAUAAACUCAUCGACCUUUUUGUUAAUUAUGACAUCAUGAAGCUUAGUCUUUGACUUAACAAAUAAAAAUUAGGUUGCUUAUAUUUAAGUCGGAUUGUUUAGAGGUUAUGACAAGCAAUUAACCACUAACCAACACAAUUUUCAAUAGAAAGCCAAUUCUUGCUCAAUUUUCAAUUCAGUAGAACACAAAUUAUCACCACAUGACAAUGUCAAUCACAAAAUAUUUUGUUAAAAAUACGGAAAUGAGAAUUUCUAAGCCGAUAGGAUCAUAGGAGUAACUCUGUAAAAGUAAGAUCCGUGGCUAACUAAACAAGCAAUACUUUUUUUCAAGGCCCAUUGCUAACAAAAACAGCCUAUGCUCUCAAAGUUGGUAUUAUCGGUUAUGAACAAAAAUCACUUCUAAAACAUCAGCAACAGUCUCCUCAAAUACUAAUCAAAAAUUAAACGGUAGACUAGUUAAUAACACAACAUGAUAAACCUCGCAAAAAUUGCAAAACAACAACAAAAUGCGCAAAAGAAACAACAAUAAGCAUUCACCAACCACUUAAUGCAAACAUCAAUUCCUUGGACCCAUAAGCAAUUUUCACUUCAAGAUCAUUCAACAAUCAUAUAAACUCAGAAUCAGAAAUACCUAUAAGCCCAAUCAUUGAGUU